UUGCUGUGAUGACAGUCUUAGGACACCUUUGGAUUAACCAUGAAAUAAAACAUAGUCUGAGCAAC
Small nucleolar RNA from Fukomys damarensis (Damara mole-rat), 65 nucleotides. Its record names the gene SNORD58. It matches the Rfam family "Small nucleolar RNA SNORD58". Rfam says of the family: snoRNA U58 is found in introns 1, 3 and 6 of the ribosomal protein RPL17 gene in humans. U58 is a member of the C/D class of snoRNA which contain C (UGAUGA) and D (CUGA) box motifs. Most of the members of the box C/D family function in directing site-specific 2'-O-methylation of substrate RNAs. The record is from Ensembl. Lineage: Eukaryota; Metazoa; Chordata; Mammalia; Rodentia; Bathyergidae.